Molecule: ribosomal RNA, 265 nt
Filed under: uncultured Pseudomonas sp.
Lineage: Bacteria; Pseudomonadati; Pseudomonadota; Gammaproteobacteria; Pseudomonadales; Pseudomonadaceae
Description: partial 16S ribosomal RNA
Rfam family: Bacterial small subunit ribosomal RNA
Source: RNAcentral
AGCACGUUAUGGUGGGCGACUCUAAGGAGACUGCCGGUGACAAACCGGAGGAAGGUGGGGAGUGACGUCAAGUCAUCAUGGCCCUUACGGCCUGGGCUACACACGUGCUACAAUGGUCGGUACAAAGGGUUGCCAAGCCGCGAGGUGGAGCUAAUCCCAUAAAACCGAUCGUAGUCCGGAUCGCAGUCUGCAACUCGACUGCGUGAAGUCGGAAUCGCUAGUAAUCAUGAAUCAGAAUGUCACGGUGAAUACGUUCCCGGGCCUU